CAUCCGCUAAGGCUAAAUACUCCUGAGAGACCGAUAGCGAAGUAGUACUGUGAAGGAAAGGUGAAAAGGACCCCAAGAAGGGGAGUGAAAAGACCCUGAAACCGUACGCCUACAAGCGGUCGGAGCUGCACUUCGGUGUAGUGACGGCGUGCCUUUUGCAUAAUGAGCCUACGAGUUACCUUGACAAGCGAGUUUUAAGCCCUUCAGGGGCGAAGGCGAAGCGAAAGCGAGUCUUAACAGGGCGAGAGCUUGUUGAGGUAGACGCGAAACCGAGCGAUCUACCCAUGGGCAGGUUGAAGUUCCGAUAAUAUCGGAAUGGAGGACCGAACUGGUAACGUUGAAAGUUUCGGAUGACCUGUGGGUAGGGGCGAAGACUAAUCAAACUCGGAGAUAUCUCGUACU
Molecule: ribosomal RNA, 402 nt
Filed under: uncultured bacterium
Lineage: Bacteria
Description: bacterial LSU rRNA
Rfam family: Bacterial large subunit ribosomal RNA
Source: RNAcentral